GGGCACCGCCUUCGCAGCCGGGAGAGAAGCGUUGACUGUGUGGGGAAGGCUGGCUCGGGUCGCGGCCGCGGCGAGUUACAUCCUUUUCCAAUCUGUCCGCGUCCGCCGCCACCCGUGACGGAGCCAGGAUGUUCGGGAUGCUGAGCAGCAGCUUUGAGGAUGAUCCCUUCUUCUCUGAUUCUUUUAUUGCACACCGAGAAAGUAUGCGACAGAUGAUGAGAAGUUUUUCUGAACCUUUUGGAAGAGAUUUGCUCAGCAUCUCUGAUGGCAGAGGAAGAGCUCAUAAUCACAUGAGACAUGAUGAUGGUGAAAAUUCUUUGGCUCGUACAGAUGUCAACCCUUUUCAGGCAAUGGACCGAAUGAUGUUAAAUAUGCGAAACAGUAUGCAGGAAUUACAAAGAAACUUUGGUCACCUUUCAGUGGAUCCAAAUGGACAUUCAUUUAGUUCUUCCUCAAUUAUGACUUAUUCCAAAGUAGGAGAUGAACCACCAAAGGUUUUCCAGGCCUCAACUCAAACCCGUAGGGCUCCAGGAGGAAUAAAGGAAACUAGGAGAGCAUUGAGAGAUUCUGACAGUGGACUAGAAAAAAUGGCUGUUGGUCAUCAUCUUCAUGACAGAGCUCAUGUCAUUAAAAAGUCAAAGAACAACAAAACUGGAGACGAAGAGGUCAAUCAAGAGUUCAUCAAUAUGAAUGAAAGUGAUGCUCACGCUUUUGAUGAUGAAUGGCAGAAUGAGAUUUUGAAGUACAGACCAGCGGGACAGUGGCGCCAUGUGGAAAACCCUAAGAUGCGAAGUGUUGGUCAUGAGAAUUCAGGCUCCCGAGAACUUAAAAGAAGGCCAUAAGAGAGUGGAGGAUUGCUGCAGAAGGUGGAGGGCUUCACAGAACCAGCGAUGGACAAGGAGAAACCUCAUCAAAGUCCAGCCAUUGAACAUGGAAGAAGAUCAAAUGUUUUUGUGGACAAACUCAACAUCAAAGGAUCACCUGUGAAAAUCAACAAAAAAUAAAUAGGCUUGCAGUUGA
RNA transcript from Prionailurus viverrinus (fishing cat), 1020 nucleotides. It is a transcript of the gene named myeloid leukemia factor 1, with no coding region annotated. Lineage: Eukaryota; Metazoa; Chordata; Mammalia; Carnivora; Felidae. The transcript is spliced from 8 exons. The record is from RefSeq and is a predicted model, not a curated record.